GUGCUUGUUUUUGCAGCACAUACACUAAAAUUAGAAUGAUACAGAGAAGAUUAGCAUGGCUCCCAUGAGACGAUGACAUGGAAAUUCAUAAUGUGUUCCCUAUUUUU
This 107-nucleotide small nuclear RNA is filed under the name Microcebus murinus (gray mouse lemur). Lineage: Eukaryota; Metazoa; Chordata; Mammalia; Primates; Cheirogaleidae. The record is from RNAcentral.